RNAcentral lists this ribosomal RNA (2225 nucleotides) under Salmonella enterica subsp. enterica serovar Berta. RNAcentral's name for it is "partial 23S ribosomal RNA". It matches the Rfam family "Bacterial large subunit ribosomal RNA", at positions 1 to 2238 of the family's 2925-position model. Lineage: Bacteria; Pseudomonadati; Pseudomonadota; Gammaproteobacteria; Enterobacterales; Enterobacteriaceae. RNAcentral also lists the same sequence under 1 other name. The record is from RNAcentral.
GGGUUGUGAGGUUAAGCGACUAAGCGUACACGGUGGAUGCCCUGGCAGUCAGAGGCGAUGAAGGGCGUGCUAAUCUGCGAUAAGCGCCGGUAAGGUGAUAUGAACCGUUAUAACCGGCGAUACCCGAAUGGGGAAACCCAGUGUGAUUCGUCACACUAUCAUUAACUGAAUCCAUAGGUUAAUGAGGCGAACCGGGGGAACUGAAACAUCUAAGUACCCCGAGGAAAAGAAAUCAACCGAGAUUCCCCCAGUAGCGGCGAGCGAACGGGGAGGAGCCCAGAGCCUGAAUCAGCAUGUGUGUUAGUGGAAGCGUCUGGAAAGGCGCGCGAUACAGGGUGACAGCCCCGUACACAAAAGCGCAUGUGCUGUGAGCUCGAUGAGUAGGGCGGGACACGUGGUAUCCUGUCUGAAUAUGGGGGGACCAUCCUCCAAGGCUAAAUACUCCUGACUGACCGAUAGUGAACCAGUACCGUGAGGGAAAGGCGAAAAGAACCCCGGCGAGGGGAGUGAAAAAGAACCUGAAACCGUGUACGUACAAGCAGUGGGAGCACAGGUUUACCUGUGUGACUGCGUACCUUUUGUAUAAUGGGUCAGCGACUUAUAUUCUGUAGCAAGGUUAACCGUAUAGGGGAGCCGGAGGGAAACCGAGUCUUAAUUGGGCGUUAAGUUGCAGGGUAUAGACCCGAAACCCGGUGAUCUAGCCAUGGGCAGGUUGAAGGUUGGGUAACACUAACUGGAGGACCGAACCGACUAAUGUUGAAAAAUUAGCGGAUGACCUGUGGCUGGGGGUGAAAGGCCAAUCAAACCGGGAGAUAGCUGGUUCUCCCCGAAAGCUAUUUAGGUAGCGCCUCGUGAAUUCAUCUCCGGGGGUAGAGCACUGUUUCGGCUAGGGGGCCAUCCCGGCUUACCAACCCGAUGCAAACUGCGAAUACCGGAGAAUGUUAUCACGGGAGACACACGGCGGGUGCUAACGUCCGUCGUGAAGAGGGAAACAACCCAGACCGCCAGCUAAGGUCCCAAAGUCAUGGUUAAGUGGGAAACGAUGUGGGAAGGCCCAGACAGCCAGGAUGUUGGCUUAGAAGCAGCCAUCAUUUAAAGAAAGCGUAAUAGCUCACUGGUCGAGUCGGCCUGCGCGGAAGAUGUAACGGGGCUAAACCAUGCACCGAAGCUGCGGCAGCGACGCUUAUGCGUUGUUGGGUAGGGGAGCGUUCUGUAAGCCUGUGAAGGUGUGUCGUGAGGCAUGCUGGAGGUAUCAGAAGUGCGAAUGCUGACAUAAGUAACGAUAAAGCGGGUGAAAAGCCCGCUCGCCGGAAGACCAAGGGUUCCUGUCCAACGUUAAUCGGGGCAGGGUGAGUCGACCCCUAAGGCGAGGCCGAAAGGCGUAGUCGAUGGGAAACGGGUUAAUAUUCCCGUACUUGGUGUUACUGCGAAGGGGGGACGGAGAAGGCUAUGUUGGCCGGGCGACGGUUGUCCCGGUUUAAGCGUGUAGGUGUGUGUUCCAGGUAAAUCCGGUUCACUUUAACACUGAGGCGUGAUGACGAGGCACUACGGUGCUGAAGUAACAAAUGCCCUGCUUCCAGGAAAAGCCUCUAAGCAUCAGGUAACAUCAAAUCGUACCCCAAACCGACACAGGUGGUCAGGUAGAGAAUACCAAGGCGCUUGAGAGAACUCGGGUGAAGGAACUAGGCAAAAUGGUGCCGUAACUUCGGGAGAAGGCACGCUGACACGUAGGUGAAGUGAUUUACUCACGGAGCUGAAGUCAGUCGAAGAUACCAGCUGGCUGCAACUGUUUAUUAAAAACACAGCACUGUGCAAACACGAAAGUGGACGUAUACGGUGUGACGCCUGCCCGGUGCCGGAAGGUUAAUUGAUGGGGUCAGCGCAAGCGAAGCUCCUGAUCGAAGCCCCGGUAAACGGCGGCCGUAACUAUAACGGUCCUAAGGUAGCGAAAUUCCUUGUCGGGUAAGUUCCGACCUGCACGAAUGGCGUAAUGAUGGCCAGGCUGUCUCCACCCGAGACUCAGUGAAAUUGAACUCGCUGUGAAGAUGCAGUGUACCCGCGGCAAGACGGAAAGACCCCGUGAACCUUUACUAUAGCUUGACACUGAACAUUGAGCCUUGAUGUGUAGGAUAGGUGGGAGGCUUUGAAGUGUGGACGCCAGUCUGCAUGGAGCCGACCUUGAAAUACCACCCUUUAAUGUUUGAUGUUCUAACGUGGACCCGUUA